AGAUUGAACGCUGGCGGCAUGCCUUACACAUGCAAGUCGAACGGCAGCACGGGGGCAACCCUGGUGCGAGUGGCGGAACGGGUGAGUAAUACAUCGGAACGUGUCCUGUAGUGGGGGAUAGCCCGGCGAAAGCCGGAUUAAUACCGCAUACGAUCUACGGAAGAAAGCGGGGGAUCUUAGGACCUCGCGCUACAGGGGCGGCCGAUGGCAGAUUAGCUAGUUGGUGGGGUAAAGGCCUACCAAGGCGACGAUCUGUAGCUGGUCUGAGAGGACGACCAGCCACACUGGGACUGAGACACGGCCCAGACUCCUACGGGAGGCAGCAGUGGGGAAUUUUGGACAAUGGGGGAAACCCUGAUCCAGCAAUGCCGCGUGUGUGAAGAAGGCCUUCGGGUUGUAAAGCACUUUGUCCGGAAAGAAACUUCUGACCUAAUACGGCGGAGGAUGACGGUACCGGAAGAAUAAGCACCGGCUAACUACGUGCCAGCAGCCGCGGU
Molecule: ribosomal RNA, 497 nt
Filed under: uncultured bacterium
Lineage: Bacteria
Description: SSU rRNA
Rfam family: Bacterial small subunit ribosomal RNA
Source: RNAcentral